CACCGCGGUUAUACGAGAGGCUCAAGUUGACAGACAACGGCGUAAAGAGUGGUUAGGGAAACUUUCAAACUAAAGCCGAACGUCCUCAAAGCUGUUUAACGCUUCCGAGUUAAGAAGCCCCACUACGAAAGUGGCUUUACCCCACCUGACCCCACGAAAGCUGUGAAA
This 168-nucleotide ribosomal RNA is filed under the name Neoglyphidodon nigroris (black-and-gold chromis). Its description in RNAcentral is "partial small subunit ribosomal RNA". The record is from RNAcentral. Lineage: Eukaryota; Metazoa; Chordata; Actinopteri; Pomacentridae.